This 111-nucleotide unclassified non-coding RNA is filed under the name Chryseobacterium balustinum. RNAcentral describes it as "Flavo-1 RNA". Lineage: Bacteria; Pseudomonadati; Bacteroidota; Flavobacteriia; Flavobacteriales; Weeksellaceae. The record is from RNAcentral.
UCCUAGCCCCGAUAGAAACGGUUACCCCGCAACAAGGAGUGGAGAAGUUUGAGGGUUUUGGUGUGGGAGAGUGGGUGGAGUGAGGAGUAUGAGUGGAUAGCGGGAAAUAGC